Molecule: ribosomal RNA, 467 nt
Filed under: uncultured bacterium
Lineage: Bacteria
Description: partial 16S ribosomal RNA
Rfam family: Bacterial small subunit ribosomal RNA
Source: RNAcentral
GACGAACGCUGGCGGCGUGCUUAACACAUGCAAGUCGAACGGAAAGGCCUCUUUCGGGGGGUACUCGAGUGGCGAACGGGUGAGUAACACGUGAGUAACCUGCCCUUGACUUUGGGAUAACUUCAGGAAACUGGGGCUAAUACCGGAUAGGAGCUCCUGCUGCAUGGUGGGGGUUGGAAAGUUUCGGCGGUUGGGGAUGGACUCGCGGCUUAUCAGCUUGUUGGUGGGGUAGUGGCUUACCAAGGCUUUGACGGGUAGCCGGCCUGAGAGGGUGACCGGCCACAUUGGGACUGAGAUACGGCCCAGACUCCUACUGGAGGCAGCAGUGGGGAAUAUUGCACAAUGGGUGGAAGCCUGAUGCAGCAACGCCGUGUGCGGGAUGACGGCCUUCGGGUUGUAAACCGCUUUCGCUCAUGACGAAGCUUUGUGUGACGGUAGUGGGUAAAGAAGCACCGGCUAACUACGUG